CGUGGGCAACCUGCCCUGAAGCGGGGGAUAACAUCUGGAAACAGGUGCUAAUACCGCAUAACAACGAAAACCACAUGGUUUUCGUUUUCAAAGAUGGUUUCGGCUAUCACUUCAGGAUGGGCCCGCGGUGCAUUAGCUAGUUGGUAAGGUAACGGCUUACCAAGGCAAUGAUGCAUAGCCGAGUUGAGAGACUGAUCGGCCACAAUGGAACUGAGACACGGUCCAUACUCCUACGGGAGGCAGCAGUAGGGAAUCUUCCACAAUGGGCGCAAGCCUGAUGGAGCAACACCGCGUGAGUGAAGAAGGGUUUCGGCUCGUAAAACUCUGUUGUUGGAGAAGAACGUGCGUGAGAGUAACUGUUCACGCAGUGACGGUAUCCAACCAGAAAGUCACGGCUAACUACGUGCCAGCAGCCGCGGUAAUACGUAAGUGGCAAGCGUUAUCCGGAUUUAUUGGGCGUAAAGCGAGCGCAGGCGGUUGCUUAGGUCUGAUGUGAAAGCCUUCGGCUUAACCGAAGAAAGGGCAUCGGAAACCGGGCGACUUGAGUGC
RNAcentral lists this ribosomal RNA (549 nucleotides) under uncultured bacterium. RNAcentral's name for it is "bacterial SSU rRNA". It matches the Rfam family "Bacterial small subunit ribosomal RNA", at positions 116 to 649 of the family's 1533-position model. The record is from RNAcentral.